RNAcentral lists this transfer RNA (84 nucleotides) under Myxococcaceae bacterium. RNAcentral's name for it is "tRNA-Leu". It matches the Rfam family "tRNA". From Rfam's summary of the family: Transfer RNA (tRNA) molecules are approximately 80 nucleotides in length. Their secondary structure includes four short double-helical elements and three loops (D, anti-codon, and T loops). The record is from RNAcentral. Lineage: Bacteria; Pseudomonadati; Myxococcota; Myxococcia; Myxococcales; Myxococcaceae.
GCCCAGAUGGCGGAAUUGGUAGACGCGCUAGGUUCAGGUCCUAGUGAGGGAAACUUUGUGGAGGUUCGAGUCCUCUUUUGGGCA